RNAcentral lists this ribosomal RNA (819 nucleotides) under uncultured bacterium. Its description in RNAcentral is "bacterial SSU rRNA". It matches the Rfam family "Bacterial small subunit ribosomal RNA", at positions 9 to 833 of the family's 1533-position model. The record is from RNAcentral.
GAGUUUGAUCCUGGCUCAGAAUCAACGCUGGCGGCGUGCUUCAGACAUGCAAGUCGAACGAGAAAGUUCCCUUCGGGGAAUAAGUAAAGUGGCGCACGGGUGAGUAACACGUAAGUAAUCUACCCUCGGGUGGGGGAUAACAUCGGGAAACCGAUGCUAAUACCGCAUAACGCAGCGGCUCGUAAUCGAGACAGUUGUUAAAGGAUUUAUCCGCCUGAGGAGGAGCUUGCGGCAGAUUAGCUGGUUGGUAAGGUAACGGCUUACCAAGGCAACGAUCUGUAGCCGACCUGAGAGGGUGGUCGGUCACACUGACACUGAAUAACGGGUCAGACUCCUACGGGAGGCAGCAGUCGGGAAUCUUGUGCAAUGGGGGAAACCCUGACACAGCAACGCCGCGUGAAGGAUGAAGCCUCUAGGGGUGUAAACUUCGCAAAUAUAGGAAGAAUCAAUGACGGUACUAUAUGUAAGCUCCGGCUAACUACGUGCCAGCAGCCGCGGUAAUACGUAGGGGGCAAGCGUUGUUCGGAUUUACUGGGCGUAAAGGGCGCGUAGGCGGCGUGACAAGUCACUUGUGAAAUCUCCGGGCUUAACUCGGAGCUGCCAAGUGAUACUGUCAUGCUAGAGUACAGAAAGGGCAAUCGGAAUUCUCGGUGUAGCGGUGAAAUGCGUAGAUAUCGAGAGGAACACCUGAAGGCGAAGGCGGGUUUGCUAGGCUGAUACUGACGCUGAGCGCGAAAGCUAGGGGAGCGAACGGGAUUAAGAAUACCCCGGUAGUCCUAAGCCCCUAAACGGAUGAAAUAACUUGGUGUGUUUGGGAGU